GUGUGAGAGUGUGUGUGAGAGUGUGUGUGAGAGUAUGAGUGUAUGUAUGAGAGUAUGUGUGUGUGUGUGUGAGAGUGUGAGUAUGUGUGAGAGUGUGUGAGUAUGUAUGAGUGU
Non-coding RNA from Pangasianodon gigas (Mekong giant catfish), 114 nucleotides. The record is from the annotation of a GenBank genome assembly. NCBI's taxonomy places the organism in Eukaryota, Metazoa, Chordata, Actinopteri, Siluriformes, Pangasiidae.